This 629-nucleotide ribosomal RNA is filed under the name uncultured bacterium. Its description in RNAcentral is "bacterial SSU rRNA". The stretch from base 1 to 523 matches the Rfam family "Bacterial small subunit ribosomal RNA", at positions 338 to 873 of the family's 1533-position model. The record is from RNAcentral.
CCUACGGGAGGCAGCAGUGGGGAAUAUUGGACAAUGGGCGAAAGCCUGAUCCAGCAAUGCCGCGUGAGUGAUGAAGGCCUUAGGGUUGUAAAGCUCUUUUACCAGGGAUGAUAAUGACAGUACCUGGAGAAUAAGCUCCGGCUAACUCCGUGCCAGCAGCCGCGGUAAUACGGAGGGAGCUAGCGUUGUUCGGAAUUACUGGGCGUAAAGCGUGCGUAGGCGGUGAUUCAAGUCAGAGGUGAAAGCCUGGAGCUCAACUCCAGAACGGCCUUUGAAACUAGAUCGCUAGAAUUAUGGAGAGGUAAGUGGAAUUCCGAGUGUAGAGGUGAAAUUCGUAGAUAUUCGGAAGAACACCAGUGGCGAAGGCGACUUACUGGACAUAUAUUGACGCUGAGGUACGAAAGCGUGGGGAGCAAACAGGAUUAGAUACCCUGGUAGUCCACGCCGUAAACGAUGAUAACUAGCUGUUCGGGCUCUCAGAGCUUGUAGUGGCGCGAGCGUACGACAUUAAGUUAGUUCCGUCCGUCGGGGUAGGUACGGUCGGCGAAGUAAGUUAAACGUAACUUAAAGUUAGUAAGUUAGUUACGGACGUUGAGACGUGCCGACGGACGACGACGAGGGAGGUUAGG